Molecule: long non-coding RNA, 484 nt
Filed under: Vigna radiata
Lineage: Eukaryota; Viridiplantae; Streptophyta; Magnoliopsida; Fabales; Fabaceae
Description: long non-coding RNA (VRAD_LNC005938)
Source: RNAcentral
GUUUGCUAAUGCACGUAUGUUGUUUUUUCAGUUGGUACAUUUUAAUAAUGUGUAUCGGGUUUUAGUAGACAAAAAUAUCCUUAUAUAUCAUGGAUUCUAAGUUUUAAGGUUAAGGGUAUUUUAAUAAUUUUCAUUCUUAAAACUAAAAAAAGAAACCCCCAAACCUUUACUCAUCUCUCUCAUUCCUCUCAACCCUUCCUCUUUCAUCUUUGUUACUCCAACAUUUUCUCUAUCAUCCUUAUUAUAGUCCAAUUGAAAAAAUCAGAAAGACUUGCCUAACUCUAAUCCACCUUCCUCACUUAUCCAAUUUUUUUCUCUCUCAUCUUCAUACUCUCCCUUACCUACAUACAACAACCCGUGACAUUGCAAUUUAUUGCUCUUGCUUUCUGUUUUCCACUUUAAUAACAAAAUAAUUGAUGAUGUUGAUGUUGAUUUUUGAUUAGAGGACAAUGUUAUAUAUUUUCCCUUCUUAUUAUUAUUAAAU